GGAGGAAUAUUGGGCAAUGGACGAAAGUCUGACCCAGCAACGCCGCGUGAAGGAUGAAGGCCUUCGGGUCGUAAACUUCUUUUGAGGGAGACGAGAAAAGGACGGUAUCCCUCGAAUAAGCCACGGCUAACUACGUGCCAGCAGCCGUGGUAAAACGUAGGUGGCGAGCGUUAUCCGGAUUCAUUGGGCGUAAAGAGCUUGUAGGUGGUGCGAUAAGUUGGACGUGAAAACUCCGGGCUUAACUUGGAGAGGCCGUUCAAUACUGUUGUGCUAGAGGGCGUCAGAGGGAAGUGGAAUUCCUGGUGUAGCAGUGAAAUGCGUAGAUAUCAGGAGGAACAUCCGUGGCGAAGGCGGCUUCCUGGGGCGCACCUGACACUGAGAAGCGAAAGCUAGGGGAGCAAACGGGAUUAGAAAACCCCGGUAGUCCUAGCUGUAAACGAUGGAUGCUAGGUGUGAGUGGAUCUAACCCCGCUCGUGCCGAAGCUAACGCGUUAAGCAUCCCGCCUGGGAACUACGAGCGCAAGCUUAAAACUCAAAGGAA
This 541-nucleotide ribosomal RNA is filed under the name uncultured bacterium. RNAcentral's name for it is "partial 16S ribosomal RNA". It matches the Rfam family "Bacterial small subunit ribosomal RNA", at positions 355 to 909 of the family's 1533-position model. The record is from RNAcentral.